RNAcentral lists this transfer RNA (90 nucleotides) under Comamonas sp. RNAcentral's name for it is "tRNA-OTHER". Lineage: Bacteria; Pseudomonadati; Pseudomonadota; Betaproteobacteria; Burkholderiales; Comamonadaceae. The record is from RNAcentral.
GGUGUGGUUGUGAUAUAGGUUGCUGAUUCUAAAUGAGGUAAUUGGAUUGCAAAUCCGGUUAGACCAGUUCGACUCUGGUUCGCGCCUCCA